This 332-nucleotide ribosomal RNA is filed under the name uncultured bacterium. Its description in RNAcentral is "bacterial SSU rRNA". It matches the Rfam family "Bacterial small subunit ribosomal RNA", at positions 568 to 898 of the family's 1533-position model. The record is from RNAcentral.
CGCGUAGGUGGUUCGAUAAGUCGGAGGUGAAAUCCCUCGGCUCAACCGAGGACCCGCGUCCGAUACUGUCGAACUUGAGUGCAGGAGAGGAGAGCGGAAUUCCCAGUGUAGCGGUGAAAUGCGUAGAUAUUGGGAGGAACACCGGUGGCGAAGGCGGCUCUCUGGACUGCUACUGACACUGAGGCGCGAAAGCUAGGGGAGCAAACGGGAUUAGAUACCCCGGUAGUCCUAGCCGUAAACGAUGGGCACUAGGUGUGGGAGGUAUCGACCCCUUCCGUGCCGCAGCUAACGCAUUAAGUGCCCCGCCUGGGGAGUACGGCCGCAAGGUUGAA